This 671-nucleotide ribosomal RNA is filed under the name bacterium. RNAcentral describes it as "partial 23S ribosomal RNA". It matches the Rfam family "Bacterial large subunit ribosomal RNA", at positions 1874 to 2632 of the family's 2925-position model. The record is from RNAcentral.
GGGGAAGGAGGUUCUACUUCGCGCAAGUGGAACAUCAAACUCAAAUGAAGUUCAGACGCGCACGAAUGGUGUAAUGACUGGAGAACUGUCUCGGGGACCUGCUCGGUGAAAAUACAAUACCGGUGAAGAUGCCGGUUACCUGCAGUUAGACGAAAAGACCCCGGGAGCUUUACUGCAACUUGAUAUUGAGUUUACGGUCACGAUGCGUAGCAUAGAUGGGAGACUUUGAAGCGCGAUUCUCGGAUUGCGUGGAGUCGUCAGUGAAAUACCAUUCUUCUAGAUUGUAAAUUCUAACCUCGACGGAAAAAACGGCGAGAGACAGUAUCUGGCGGGCAGUUUUAGUGGGGCGCUAUCCUCCUAAAAAGUAACGGAGGAGUCUAAAGGUUGGCUAGGCGCGAAUGGAAACCGUGCCGAUAGUGUAAUGGCAUAAGCCAGCUUAACUGUGAGGCGUACAUGCCAAACAGAUGCGAAAGCAGAGCAUAGUGAACCGACCGUACACGUUAGAUGUGGCGGAAGAUUAUCGGAUAAAAGCUACCCCGGGGAUAACAGGCUGGUUGCGCCUAAGCGUCCAUAGCGACGGCGCAGUUCGGCACCUCGAUAAACAUAACCGAUGUCGAGGAGAGAGGAUACGAACAAUUCUCUCAUGUGUGUGAUAUAAAAAUCAUGCACAC